Molecule: long non-coding RNA, 2133 nt
Organism: Chinchilla lanigera (long-tailed chinchilla)
Lineage: Eukaryota; Metazoa; Chordata; Mammalia; Rodentia; Chinchillidae
Exons: 3
Source: RefSeq, a predicted model, not a curated record
CCGCAGUCCCCAUGGAGCCCCGAGCCGCGCGGCCUUUGUUCUCUCACCAGCUGCCCUUUACAUCACCCCACAGAAACCCCGCUUAUUUACUAACCUGGGGUUUUCGGGGAAGUCGAGAUUUAAAUUAAGCCUGACAUCCUAUUAAAAAUUGCUGCGCGGGCCUCUGGCCGGGGUAGGCUGACUGCGAACAAUAUAUUGACUUGCUAGUAUCUUCAGGAAAGAAAUCAUUUAUUAGAGGCCACAGCAGCAAACUGCAAAGACCUUAGCAAAAGGGAUGGCUGUUGUAAUCUUGUAAUUGUUUAGCUGUCGGAAACUGUUUUAGACAUCGGCUUUAUUCUUCAGCUCUAGCUUUUCUGUAUCACUGGUUUCUAACUAGAAGCAUUGACCACAAACAACAAGAAACGAAGUCUUGCAUUUGAGGGUCUCACCAGGCCCACAGCCUGGAGUCCCUCAAGUUUGCUGUCCGUGUCCAGCAAGUAAUUGAUUAGUUGGACAAACAUAAGGCUGUGUCUUCUCUUGAGCCAGACAGUAUGGAGAAGGAUUUUCAUACCUGCAAGCACUGUCACUCCAAUCUUUCCUCUGUGAUGUACUGCUGGAUGGAUCAGAUCUGAACCUCUAUCCUCUGGUCCAAAUGUCCAUGUUUACAAUCCUCGGUAGCAUAAUACAGUAACAGCUCAUCAUGCACUACCAGAGAGCAGUUAUAAAUAAGAAUGUUUUCUCAGAAAUAUGACAAUAUUUCUUGAAAUUUAUACAUUGCAGCCAUUUUAAAAAGAAAGCUUAAACACUAUGUAUCCAUUACUCUGCAUGAAUUAAUGGAAGCGUAAUUUAGACUUCUGAUAAUGUUAAUGUGGAAUUGCUGUUAGAUGUUUCUGAUAGCAUUUUAUGCCCAUGGAAAAAACCUAGUCUUUCUUUCUACUGACUGCCUUCCAGACUGCCACCUUUGUCUGUGUUUCCAAUUCUUAACAGUUAAUACUUUAAUAGCUUUACUUUUGUACCAGCCUCCCCCCAACACCAGAUAUUCAGAGAAUAAGAAUUUUUAGAGCUAGUAGGAUAUUGGAGCCCCUACGGUCUUUGACUGCCACCUAGGGCAGAACUUUUGGUUACCAAGGAAACUGAAUAAUCCUAUGUUGUUUCAAGUACUAAGUCAAAAUUUUUCUCUGUGCAUCUGGAGGAACAGGUACUGAGACUUGCCACAGCUGCUGUUACCGAGAUAUGAAUCUUUUAAACAUAUUUAUAGCUUAUUUUGAUAUUUAUUGUUGAUUUGGAACCAGACCCAAGGAAGGAAAAACUAAUGCACCCAGGUUUUGCCCCAUGCACAUCAAUGGCUGAUGCCACAGUGUUUAGAAUUGUUUCCCUCUCAGGUUCCUGUGCCUUGUGAGUCACUGCUGGAGUCAAUCAUAGGUGAUCUUGGGCAGUUAGGAGAGGUGUGAUAAAACCCAAAUCCAAGGUUAGGAAACCACGAUGUGAACAAAAGUGGGUCCAAAUUCACUUGAUGUUCCAAAGUGAAAACUGGGAGGUUGGACACUGCUUUUUUUGGAACAUAGGAUGUGAAGUAGAAAGGCAGUACCCAAGAAGCGAGCUUUCUAAUUGGGACAUUGACACAAAUUAAUAUCUAGAGCAUAAGGGUAAGAGCUAUUCUAAUAGUAUGGGUAGGAGAGUUUUUCUUUUCAUAUAUGUAUUUGAGCAGCCCUGAGAAUAUGCAGGGAAAUACAGCCCUCCUUAGCUUAACAAACAGUAAGAUUCCAGCUGCCCUGCAAGACAUUUAUGGGAUCAUCCUGACAAUGAACAUCAUGUGAUGGGAAGAGAUGGAGCACUGGUUCUUUCAGGCUACAUUCUUCUACUAACUAGUACCUGUAUGAGUUACUUUUCUGUUGCUGGAACAAAUUACCUGACACCAGCAAUUUGAAGGAGAGAUUUAUUUGGCUCGUGGUUCCAGUGGGUUCAGUCCAAAAUGAGCUGGUCCCAACGCAGAAAUGCAUGGUGGAAGAGACAGUGGAGUAAAGCUGCUCAGCCAUGGCAGCCAUGAAACAGGAAGAACACUUGUCUGUAUUUCCUUUGGUUAUGUGGUGGGUUGACAACUGGUGGUCAACUUAUAACACCCAGCUGAAAUGAACUAGUGCAGUGCUGGGUAUG